RNAcentral lists this ribosomal RNA (460 nucleotides) under uncultured bacterium. RNAcentral's name for it is "partial 16S ribosomal RNA". It matches the Rfam family "Bacterial small subunit ribosomal RNA", at positions 338 to 795 of the family's 1533-position model. The record is from RNAcentral.
CCUACGGGAGGCAGCAGUGAGGAAUAUUGGUCAAUGGACGAGAGUCUGAACCAGCCAAGUAGCGUGAAGGAUGACUGCCCUAUGGGUUGUAAACUUCUUUUAUAUGGGAAUAAAACGUUCCACGUGUGGGAUUUUGUAUGUACCAUAUGAAUAAGGAUCGGCUAACUCCGUGCCAGCAGCCGCGGUAAUACGGAGGAUCCGAGCGUUAUCCGGAUUUAUUGGGUUUAAAGGGAGCGUAGGUGGAUUGUUAAGUCAGUUGUGAAAGUUUGCGGCUCAACCGUAAAAUUGCAGUUGAAACUGGCAGUCUUGAGUACAGUAGAGGUGGGCGGAAUUCGUGGUGUAGUGGUGAAAUGCUUAGAUAUCACGAAGAACUCCGAUUGCGAAGGCAGUUCACUGGACUGCAACUGACACUGAGGCUCGAAAGUGUGGGUAUCAAACAGGAUUAGAUACCCCUGUAGUC